UCCAAUCACAUCGGCGGAAACGAGGUUACUAGGCGACGCUUUAAGGUCGUCCUCAACUUGGAAGGGAGGGCAGUUGUUUUCCCCCCCGAAAAGAAGCCGAACACCAAACCAAGUGCGGGUUGCUAAGCAACACCUGAGCGUUGUUUUCUGGGAGAGGAGCCAGAAACUGGCUUAGAACGUAAAUACAUUCCAGGUGGAUUAAAAAUUGGUUACUAGGCAACGAUCGCUGGACUCAACCACCCUCGA
Molecule: long non-coding RNA, 246 nt
Filed under: Homo sapiens (human)
Lineage: Eukaryota; Metazoa; Chordata; Mammalia; Primates; Hominidae
Description: non-protein coding lnc-FUZ-1:1
Source: RNAcentral